RNAcentral lists this ribosomal RNA (170 nucleotides) under uncultured bacterium. Its description in RNAcentral is "partial 16S ribosomal RNA". It matches the Rfam family "Bacterial small subunit ribosomal RNA", at positions 338 to 525 of the family's 1533-position model. The record is from RNAcentral.
CCUACGGGAGGCAGCAGUGGGGAAUAUUGGACAAUGGGCGCAAGCCUGAUCCAGCCAUGCCGCGUGAGUGAUGAAGGCCUUAGGGUUGUAAAGCUCUUUCACCGGGGAAGAUAAUGACGGUACCCGGAGAAGAAGCCCCGGCUAACUUCGUGCCAGCAGCCGCGGUAAUA